UAUUUUUGCCUGUUUUGAGAUGAUUGGAAGCAUGAAGAUGAUUGGAAGCAUGAGUGCCUUGCUUCUCGAAGGGUGAUUAGGGCCCUGCUCUCCCUCUCUCUGCUGGAGUUAGCGACAGAACCUUCCUUUCUCUAUCACACAGCACACACCUCUCCCUGUACUGUGUCUGCCUGGUGAAGGAGGAGGAGAAGGUGGUGGGGAUAAUUUCUGAGGGCUUUGCUUAGAGCUGAGGGGAAGGAGAGGCUGCCAAGAAGCCGGAUGGAGCUGCAGCCCCUGGAGCUGCCAUCUGCUUCUUGUCAGGUUGUUGUGAAGUGCUUGUUCCUGGCUGCCUGGUGACAGAGGCUGCUGGACUGCAGCAGAAGGAUGUGGUUAUGACAGAUGCUCUGUUUACCAUACUUUGUGCCUAGUCAGGAUCACACAGGAUGUUUGCUUUUUCCUGGGAAAGUCACCGUUUGGUGUCUUGCUCACCUCCUUCCCCAGCAUGUGCUUUCCAAAUGGUCAUCUCUGUUGGGAGGUAUGGAGACCGCACUCCAUCUGUCGUCCUUCGCUCAUGGGAGAAGACUCCCCUCGGUGGAAAUCCCUGUGCUUCCUCGAGGUGUAAUGCAGCUGGGGACCCAUUUUCCCCUUUACAACAGGGGUGGGCAGUCUGUGGCGCUCCAGAUGUUGUCUGACUCCAACUCCAGGCUGGAUGGCCAAUAAUCAGAUACUAGAGUUGGAGUCCAACAACAUUGUGGGGAGGGGGCGGCACAGGUUCCCCAUCCCUGCUCUAUAGUAAGGCACAUUACUGCUUCUCUAGUGAUGCAUAAAGGUUCUUCCAAUGUCCAUUAAUUCCUUGCCACUUGAGUCCUUCUCAGAUUGCAUCAGCAGCAGGUGGCUUAGUGGUGUGAGUGGCCAUUGCUUACCUGGCUGUCCAGUGUGGAGGUUGCUGCUGGUAGCCAAGAGGCAGUGGGGAGGUCAGCACAGUGCAAGCACAGUGGCAGAACCAUUCUGACACUCCUGAUGCUUCAUCCACACCAACCUCUUUUCUGCCUCUCCACUCCCCCUAAACCCUUUGGUUACCAGCAGUGACCUCCAUGUUGGGAAACCGUAAGCAAUGCCACUCCACUCCACCAGCUGCUACUGAUGCUGCUGGAUUGCAUGUGGUUCACUUCCAUGAAGGGGAUGUUGGGGAAGGUGUUGCAGUGGUUGACAAAGCCUUAGCAGUGAUCCAGAUCCUUCCCGUGGAGUCUCCUGCUUCCUGCUGGCACUUCAGCCAGAUGGUUCGCUGCAGGAGAAUGCCAGAGCUUUCCCAUAGAUAAAAUUGCAAAGGCUUUCAACACUGUCUCCGCUAAGUCUUAGCUCAUCCUGUAGUCAGUCGGAAAUCAGAAUGAGCAGGUUAAUUUUAGAAUUUAAUAAUUUUACCAAGGUUAUCUCACAUCUGAUCUCCUGUUAUUCCAUUCUUGGGCAAAGCGGAUCAUAGUCCCCUAAGGAUCCUACCACAAACAAGAAUGAAAGACAGAAUUAUCUCUUUUGGAUCAAAGGCUGAUUACAGAGAAUGAUUUAUCUUAUGAGAAAAAGUGAAGCUAAGUAUAAUGGAACUGUAAUGAAAUUGGAAUGAAUAAAUACGUAAUGUUUUUAAAGUGACAGAUAUAUCUUAAUGUAACGAAUGAGUGAUCAUUCAAGGUAUCUCAGGAGUUAGCAAACAGGAGUUUGGAAGUCAGUUUGCUUAACAAAACAGAUGUUCCCUAUUUAAAUGAAAAGACUGAAGCAAUAUUUUGACUAUGUCCAAGUUAUGACAGAAUAGAAUUACUGGGUCUAGUAGACAGUGAACUCUUCAUUUGGUUACCCUUUUAUGGGACAAACCACACAUUUAAACUGCAGAAUUUGCCUCAAACAAGACCAAUUUGGCCUCAGUUCUUUGACCCACCUCACAGCUGGGCACAAGACCCUCACAAAUUUUCCCCAAAGGUGGAAAGGUCUUAAUAUCAGCUUGGUGUCACUAGCUCCUAACUGCACCCUGGAUUUUAUCAGUUCCCAGACUUGCGUCUGGUCCUUGAAUGGCCAGAGGUCAAGCAUAGCUUCUAAAUGCAACAUGACCAAUACAUCAUUGGAGCAUCUAUGAAAGCUUACAUAAACCAGAUUUUUGUUCUUAUGGUAACUUACUCAUUUCUAAGAAGACAGCUAUCCAGCUGGUUAUCUCACAUCUGACUUCCUUUCCCACUGUAGGGCAAAGCCAAGCAUAGCUAAGGAUCCCCAAGGUGGCUGAAAUGUCAGCCUGACACUGUACCAUAAAUUAUCUAGCUUGUUAGCAUCAGUGUCAAACUAUACCUACCAAAUGCAAGCAUAAUUCAUGCCAGCUGUGAAUGCAUUGUGUAGAAAAUGCACUGCAUUAUCCUCGGCUAAAAAUAUAGCAUUUUAGUAACUCCAAUAAAGGUAGAUCCUUGCAACGAAAGCUCCAUCCUAAGAGAAAGCAAGUGGAUUGUCCGUUACCACUGGAAGACAAAUGCAUGUGCACAAAAAGCCGAUUGUGCAAAAAUCACUGUAAUUGCCUUGGCAGAAUCUCCACUGAGCUCAGUUUUCAUGCCCGAAACAUUCACAGUGCCAACAGUAAUCUGCUUUUGUUCUGAGCAGCAAUAGCUCCUGGCCAAAUGUCCCAUUAUUGUCUUGGGUGAUAGUUCCUUGGUAGGCCCGUAAUACAGCAAUGGAUUUAGGAAAGGCCUUCCAGCACUCCUCCCAGCCUAGUAGGUUGAGUUCCAUGCAGACAUUUUAUUCAUUACAUUUUUUAAAAUCCUGUUUUUCCUUCAAAGAGCUCAGGAUAACAAUUACAGUUACCCCUUUUAACCCUCACAACAACCCUCAGAGAUGGGUGAGGCUAAGAGAAAGCAAAAGGGCCAAGUUCACCUCAUAAGAUCUUUCCGGCUGGUAGAUGAUUUUAAACUGGGGUGCCUUGAUCAGUUUGCAACGUGCUAGCCCCAACACCAGCUCUCUAAAAAAAAUUACCUUGAGAUGAACUUCUUGGUAAACAUACCUGAAUUGUGUGUGAGCACAUAGAUAGAGAUGGCCUUGAUGCACUGAGGAUUUCCCAACUGGUUCUACGUCAUCUAGAUCCCUAUAAGAUGUCCUGCAGCAUGGGUGCUGGAAUACCAGAACCCCUGCCUAUUUGCCAACUGGGGCUGAUAAGAGCCCUACACCAUCUAAAGGGCCAAAGGUUCCCCACCACCAUCUGACAGGACGUCCAGGUUCCACCAUCUCUCUGCAGCCUUGCUUCAAGUAAGGGCUUAUCCACACUUACCUUUUGACCCACUCUUUCCAGGCAUGGUCCACACUUUAAAGCACUGUAUCUGAGUGCUUUUUUCUGCUUUUUUCUUUUUUCGCCCCAGAGCUUUCCCCAUGAAAACCUGCUCUCUGAAGCUGAUUCAGAGCAAACGACAAUCUGUGGGAAAACCAAAUUGUCAUUUAAAGAGCAGGUUUUUACAGGUCAUAGUUCUAGGACAAAAAAGAAAAGAAAAGAAUGCUUAGACACUAAAGUGUCCCGGGAAAACUGGGACAUCCCAUUUUUUAUCACGAGAGAACAGUGGUCAUUUUGGUUGUCAUGAUUUCGCGUGAUUUCACAGUGUGAUUUCUCCCCCUGAAAAAGUGCUUUUGGAGAGACUGCGAUCUCGCCCCCAAAAUGUGUGUUUUUGGGUGCUGUACCUGAAAAAAAACACUUUUGGGGGAUGAAACUGCCAUGCAAAGUCAUGCGGUAUCACAGCAGCCAAAGUGGCCUUUGUGCUCUUGCGAUUAAAAAAUGAGAAGAUGGUGUCUGAGAAGGUGGCAUCCCGGAUUUUGACUUUAAGUUGUUGGAGGGCAUGUUAAGUGUGGAUAAGUCCUGACACAAGGCCCAUAAAAUCUCCUUGUAUCAGCUUUGACUCCAAGAGAGAGUUUGAUCAGACCUAGGCUAACACCCUGCAUGAACUGAAAGAACACCCUAGAAUAUGCCCCCAGAAUCCUUUGGGUGCUCUAACAGAUUCUCAGGGUCCCUCAGAAGGGGACUUGAUAUGGGAAAGGUUGCUUGGUGGUAGAGAAAGGUGGCAAACCAACAGCCUACCCAAAUCCUGUUGUUCUUCUUCUCUGCGCCUUUCUUCCUUCCCUCAUGAUAGCUCUUGUGAGAGGAGGUUGCCUGGAUGAAAACAAGAAGACCUUCGAUGUCUCCCAGCCCAAGGUGCAGUGCUGCAUCUCUGGUCAGUUGUGAGUCUGAGAUGAAGCACUGUAGCUCGGGAAGGGAGGAACGAUGCAACGGAAGGGAAACUUACCUCUCCUCGGUUGAGCUGCGUGGAGCCAGAGAAGCCCUGGCAGGUAUUACUACUGAAUUGAUCCAGGGGACAGAAGAAUUCAACUGGACUGUGGCUGCAAGGGCUGAAGGCUAAGCGUGAAGAGCACUCUGGAGACAACAACUGCUUAUAAGAAAUAUUAUAAGCAGAGGCGGGGGGCUCUUUGUUGCUGCCCAGAAAGUGGUGUGUGGUGUGUUUUUUCUUGGAGUGCUCAUGCUUUGGAAAACAGAAUGCAACUCCAGCCCAGCGCUUCCUCAGAGGCACCACCAAGUGGCAAUACUGAGCAUUGAGCCUAAGCAAAAAAGCUCUUCCAUUCGAGGCCUGUCGAGCAGCACCACAUAAGAAAAGCUCAACCUGCAGCAGGAUGUGAAGGAACAGACUGAAGGCUAUCCUUGCUGUCAGCCCAACCCACACUGUGUCCUCGGGGUCCAGUUUUCCCAGGAAUCCCUUAGAUGAUAAGAGGGGGAUUCCUGGAAAUACUGUUCUUGGGGUCACAGCUCAGCAGCUGGAGAUACCGUCUUCCAUUUUUCUCACCCCAGAGAAGCCAUUUGAGAGCACAUGGAAAUGGAGACGACUUCAAGGAAUGGGCUGCAGUCAUUCAGCUCCCAAAACGCCAGCAGGCCGGAGUUACUCCUGUUAUGUGACCUCAUGUCAGGUGGUUCCAAAUCACAUCAGGCUUCCAGGAGUGAAGAAAAGCAACCACGCAGCAAAGAGAAAAAGAUUUGUUCACUAGGCAGUGUUCACUGUUUGCUUGGUUAGGGGCUAACUGGAAAAUGGGGAGGAAUCAUGGCCUUUGUGUCGCAGAUCAGCAAGAUCCAAAACUUGGGAACAUGUACCUUCUGCCAUUCUGGCAGAAUAAGCUAAUAGAAUAUGUGGAGCUAGCAAUGUUGACUGCAAAGAUAAGAAAUCAAGAUGAGUCGGAUAUAAAAGAAGAGCAGGAAUACUUUGGCAAAUAUUAAAAAAUAUAUAAUAAUCAGAUGAGCUUCCAAGUGGAGUUAGAUAUAUGAGCAGUAGUUAAAAUAAGUAGACGAGGGGUAAUAAUUAAGGAGAUACAGCUUAACAAGGACUAAAUAGGACCCCACGGAGGAAUGUGUGUGGAAGUCAAGGAGUGUAAGAUAAAUGAUGGCAAUUGUAUAACUGAUGUAUUAAGAUAUGUAAAAUGCAUAAAUAAAAAUUUUUAAAAAGGAAACCUGUCCCUUCACAACACUGAUCCUUGGAGGGGCUUCCUGUAUUGCGCCAUCUAGGAAAGGGUAUUUGGGCUUCUAUCCCACUCAGCUCUGCACUGGUUGGGGUGUAAAGAAAUAACAUCAUUGCUCCUUAGAUGUGCUGAACGAAAGUGUUGUCCCAUCAUGAUCCUCCACAUACUCUGCCUUCCUAAAACCAGGCAAGUGAAAAGUUUCUGCUGCCCUGAUGGAUUGCAAAACAUUUUGUGAAUUAAAAGUUCCUUCUGGAUGAGCUUGGUACAGUAGUGCUCUGCCCUGAGCAAUAAUGCUCUCGCUCCAGAUCCUACCCAGGAAAUGCCACCACAUAACAACUGUAAACACGACAUGGUUUAAUCCCUGAGUGGUACCCCUUCUGUGCUAGCUGAGCACUGCUACAUGUAUACAGUGGGGAUUUGAUUGAGGUUGCAUUGAAAGGCAAGCAUGCCUAAUUCUAAUUCACACUUUCUGAAAUAAUAUGCAAACUGAAACACAGCCAUCCGCAGAAAUUAGCACUUUCCCAAAAUUUGCAAUGCAGUUCUCCAGCCAAGUAAUGUGUACAAAACAUGCUGUGGUGAAGUGUGCCUAAAAUUCCUGUAACAGUGAAAAUAACACAAAAACAUGUUUUAUAUUAGGGGAAAUUGCUUUACCAAAAUACGUAUAUUAGGCAAGCUUUCAUAUCAACGUGUGAAUAUUCGGAGCAAUUUGCACUAAAGUGCUGGAUUUUCACAAAAACUCUUUAAAAUAUCAAAACCUGAUGCAGAAAUAUGUAGAACUGAGUUUAAGACUGGAAAAAUGAGAAAUUGAGAUAAACUGAACAUGACCGAUUCAACCAUCCCUCUGUCAAUAAAUCUCUGCACUUGUGCAGUUUC
Molecule: long non-coding RNA, 6360 nt
Organism: Podarcis raffonei (Aeolian wall lizard)
Lineage: Eukaryota; Metazoa; Chordata; Lepidosauria; Squamata; Lacertidae
Exons: 2
Source: RefSeq, a predicted model, not a curated record